This 29-nucleotide non-coding RNA is filed under the name Homo sapiens (human). The record is from RNAcentral. Lineage: Eukaryota; Metazoa; Chordata; Mammalia; Primates; Hominidae.
UGGAAGUACAUCGGGUUGUUGAUAGAUGA